AGGACGAACGCUGGCGGCGUGCUUAACACAUGCAGGUCGAGCGGAAAGGCCCUUCGGGGUACUCGAGCGGCGAACGGGUGAGUAACACGUGAGUAACCUGCCCCUAGCUCUGGGAUAGCUCCGGGAAACCGGGAUUAAAUACCAGAUACGACCACUUUAGACAUCUGUCGUGGUGGAAAGGAUUCCGGCUAGGGAUGGGCUCGCGGCCUAUCAGCUUGUUGGUGGGUAACGCCUACCAAGGCGACGACGGUA
RNAcentral lists this ribosomal RNA (252 nucleotides) under uncultured bacterium. Its description in RNAcentral is "partial small subunit ribosomal RNA". It matches the Rfam family "Bacterial small subunit ribosomal RNA", at positions 26 to 285 of the family's 1533-position model. The record is from RNAcentral.